AGAGUUUGAUCCUGGCUCAGAUUGAACGCCGGCGGCAUGCCUUACACAUGCAAGUCGAACGGCAGCACGGGGGCAACCUGGUGGCGAGUGGCGAACGGGUGAGUAAUAUAUCGGAACGUACCCAGUAGUGGGGGAUAACUAUCCGAAAGGAUAGCUAAUACCGCAUACGAUCUGUGGAUGAAAGCAGGGGAUCUUCGGACCUUGUGCUAUUGGAAUGGCCGAUAUCUGAUUAGCUAGUUGGUAGGGUAAAAGCCUACCAAGGCGACGAUCAGUAGCUGGUCUGAGAGGACGACCAGCCACACUGGAACUGAGACACGGUCCAGACUCCUACGGGAGGCAGCAGUGGGGAAUUUUGGACAAUGGGGGCAACCCUGAUCCAGCAAUGCCGCGUGAGUGAAGAAGGCCCUCGGGUUGUAAAGCUCUUUUGUCAGGGAAGAAACGGUGAUCUCUAAUAUAGAUUGCUAAUGACGGUACCUGAAGAAUAAGCACCGGCUAACUACGUGCCAGCAGCCGCGGUAAUACGUAGGGUGCAAGCGUUAAUCGGAAUUACUGGGCGUAAAGCGUGCGCAGGCGGUUUUGUAAGUCUGAUGUGAAAUCCCCGGGCUCAACCUGGGAACUGCAUUGGAGACUGCAAGGCUAGAGUGUGUCAGAGGGGGGUAGAAUUCCACGUGUAGCAGUGAAAUGCGUAGAGAUGUGGAGGAAUACCGAUGGCGAAGGCAGCCCCCUGGGAUAACACUGACGCUCAUGCACGAAAGCGUGGGGAGCAAACAGGAUUAGAUACCCUGGUAGUCCACGCCCUA
This 800-nucleotide ribosomal RNA is filed under the name uncultured bacterium. Its description in RNAcentral is "bacterial SSU rRNA". It matches the Rfam family "Bacterial small subunit ribosomal RNA", at positions 8 to 804 of the family's 1533-position model. The record is from RNAcentral.